GAGUUUGAUCCUGGCUCAGAAUGAACGCUGGCGGCAUGGAUUAGGCAUGCAAGUCGAACGCUCACUUCGGUGAGAGUGGCGAAAGGGUGAGUAACGCGUGAGUGAUCUGCCCUCAAGUUUGGAAUAACUGUUGGAAACGACAGCUAAUACCAGAUGUGAAUACAAAGUUGCAUGAUUUUGUGUAUAAAGGUUUACUGCUUGAGGAUGAGCUCGCGUCCCAUUAUGCUAGUUGGUAAGGUAACGGCUUACCAAGGCUAUGACGGGUAGGUGGUCUGAGAGGAUGGUCACCCACACUGGGACUGAGACACUGCCCAGACUCCUGCGGGAGGCUGCAGUCGAGAAUCUUCCGCAAUGCGCGAAAGCGUGACGGAGCAAUGCCGCGUGAAGGAUGAAGGCUUUCGGGUCGUAAACUUCUGUCAGGGGGGAAAAACCAUGAUGGUACCCCCAGAGGAAGCCACGGCUAACUACGUGCCAGCAGCCGCGGUAAUACGUAGGUGGCGAGCGUUAUUCGGAUUUACUGGGCGUAAAGGGUCCGUAGGGGGAUGCUUAAGUCUGAUGUGA
RNAcentral lists this ribosomal RNA (561 nucleotides) under uncultured bacterium. RNAcentral describes it as "bacterial SSU rRNA". It matches the Rfam family "Bacterial small subunit ribosomal RNA", at positions 9 to 597 of the family's 1533-position model. The record is from RNAcentral.